Molecule: ribosomal RNA, 440 nt
Filed under: uncultured bacterium
Lineage: Bacteria
Description: bacterial SSU rRNA
Rfam family: Bacterial small subunit ribosomal RNA
Source: RNAcentral
GAUGAACGCUGGCGGUAUGCCUAACACAUGCAAGUUGUACGAGAGUUUUUAACUCUAGUGGCGGACGGGUGAGUAACACGUGAGAAUUUGCCUUUAGGAGGGGGACAACAAUUGGAAACGAAUGCUAAUACCCCAUAUGCUUUCGAGUGAAAUGGAUUUUAUCCGCCUAGAGAGAAGCUCGCGGCUGAUUAGCUUGUUGGUAAGGUAAGAGCUUACCAAGGCGACGAUCAGUAUCUGGUUUGAGAGGACGAUCAGACACACUGGAACUGAGACACGGUCCAGACUCCUACGGGAGGCAGCAGUGGGGAAUUUUCCGCAAUGGGCGAAAGCCUGACGGAGCAAUACCGCGUGAGGGAAGAAUGCCUAUGGGUUGUAAACCUCUUUUUCAGGGAGGAAUAAAAUGACGUGUACCUGAAGAAUAAGCAUCGGCUAACUCCGUG